Hemicordylus capensis (graceful crag lizard) is the source of this 305-nucleotide long non-coding RNA. RefSeq lists it as uncharacterized. The record is from RefSeq and is a predicted model, not a curated record. Lineage: Eukaryota; Metazoa; Chordata; Lepidosauria; Squamata; Cordylidae. The transcript has 3 exons.
AAUUUUUGACUCCAGCUCUGUUGAAGACUGUAUGUAUACACUAUCCCUUGAAUGCAGACUAGAGCAACAGUAGUUAACACCCAGACCAAUGCCGUGCCAUCUUGCAAGAGAAGAAUCUUGAGGUUUUUUCCAAGUUCCUUGAUGUUAUAAAACAGGAGGUCAUCUUAAAUUCAGAGUCUUCUUCCUUUCAGGUUUCCUGAAAUUUGCAUGGGUAUGAUACAUAGCUCUUCAUCCUUCUUUACUUUGAAGGAUAAUUCAGACCUCCAAGGGGAAUCCAGCAACAGUUACUUCCCCCUCCCUCACCC